UUGCUCUUCAACGAGGAAUACCUAGUAAGCGUGAGUCAUCAGCUCGCGUUGAUUACGUCCCUGCCCUUUGUACACACCGCCCGUCGCUACUACCGAUUGAAUGGCUUAGUGAGGUCUUGAGAUUGGCUUCGGGGAGCCGGCAACGGCACCUUGUUGCUGAGAACUUGAUCAAACUUGGUCAUUUAGAGGAAGUAAAAGUCGUAACAAGGUUUCCGUAGGUGAACCUGCGGAAGGAUCAUUAACGAGUUUUUGAAAGGGGUUGUAGCUGGCCGAAAAACAAGGCAUGUGCACACCCUGCUCAAUCCACUCUUAACCCCUGUGCACUUACUGUAGGCUUUGGUGGGAUGGCUGACUUCGGUUGGCUUGAAAGCCUUGCCUAUGUCUAUUACAAACACUAAAGUAUAAGAAUGUAACAUAGCGUCUAACGCAUUAAAUACAACUUUCAGCAACGGAUCUCUUGGCUCUCGCAUCGAUGAAGAACGCAGCGAAAUGCGAUAAGUAAUGUGAAUUGCAGAAUUCAGUGAAUCAUCGAAUCUUUGAACGCACCUUGCGCUCCUUGGUAUUCCGAGGAGCAUGCCUGUUUGAGUGUCAUGGAAUUAUCCACUUUCAAAACUUUUGUUAUGGAAGCUGGGACUUGGAGGUCGUGUCGGCUUAGGUCGACUCCUCUGAAAUGUAUUAGCGUGAAUCUUACGGAUCGCCUUCAGUGUGAUAAUUGUCUACGCUGUGGUGUGAAGUAUACUAGUGUUCGUGCUUCUAACCGUCCUUCGGGACAAUUACUUGACCAUUUGACCUCAAAUCAGGUAGGACUACCCGCUGAACUUAAGCAUAUCAAUAAGCGGAGGA
This 843-nucleotide ribosomal RNA is filed under the name uncultured fungus. RNAcentral describes it as "eukaryotic LSU rRNA". The stretch from base 1 to 241 matches the Rfam family "Eukaryotic small subunit ribosomal RNA", at positions 1593 to 1831 of the family's 1831-position model. The record is from RNAcentral. Lineage: Eukaryota; Fungi.